Molecule: ribosomal RNA, 460 nt
Filed under: uncultured bacterium
Lineage: Bacteria
Description: partial 16S ribosomal RNA
Rfam family: Bacterial small subunit ribosomal RNA
Source: RNAcentral
CCUACGGGCGACAGCAGUGAGGAAUAUUGGUCAAUGGACGAGAGUCUGAACCAGCCAAAUAGCGUGAAGGAUGACUGCCCUAUGGGUUGUAAACUUCUUUUAUCAAGGAAUACAACGAGGCACGUGUGCCUUUUUGCAUGUACUUUAUGAAUAAGGAUCGGCUAACUCCGUGCCAGCAGCCGCUGUAAUCCGGAGGAUCCGAGAGUUAUCCGGAUUUUGUGGGUUGAAAGGGAGCGUAGAUGGGUUGUUAAGUCAGUUGUGAAAGUUUGCGGCUCAACCGUAAAAUUGCAAUUGAUACUGACAGUCUUGAGUACAGUUGAGGUAGGCGGAAUUCGUGGUGUAGCGGUGAAAUGCUUAGAUAUCACGAAGAACCCCGAUUGCGAAGGCAGCUUACUAAACUGUGACUGACAUUGAUGCUCGAAAGUGUGGGUAUCAAACAGGAUUAGAUACCCGUGUAGUC